This 756-nucleotide ribosomal RNA is filed under the name uncultured bacterium. RNAcentral's name for it is "bacterial SSU rRNA". It matches the Rfam family "Bacterial small subunit ribosomal RNA", at positions 8 to 796 of the family's 1533-position model. The record is from RNAcentral.
AGAGUUUGAUCAUGGCUCAGAAUCAACGCUGGCGGCGCGCUUAACACAUGCAAGUCGAACGAGAAAGCCCCGCAAGGGGUGAGUAAAGUGGCGUACGGGUGAGUAACACGUGGGUAAUCUACCUUUUGGUGGGGAAUAACCCUGGGAAACCGGGGCUAAUACCGCAUAAGCUCGAAAGAGGAAAGGAGCAAUUCGCCGAAAGAGGAGCCCGCGGCUGAUUAGCUAGUUGGUGAGGUAAAGGCUCACCAAGGCUAUGAUCGGUAGCCGGCCUGAGAGGGCACACGGCCACACUGGCACUGAAACACGGGCCAGACUCCUACGGGAGGCAGCAGUGGGGAAUCUUGCACAAUGGGGGAAACCCUGAUGCAGCGACGCCGCGUGAGCGAUGAAGCCCUUCGGGGUGUAAAGCUCUUUCGGCAGGGACGAUAAUGACGGUACCUGAAGAAGAAGCUGCGGCUAACUACGUGCCAGCAGCCGCGGUAAUACGUAGGCAGCGAGCGUUGUUCGGAGUUACUGGGCGUAAAGAGUGCGUAGGCGGUUUUCUAAGUUUGGUGUGAAAUCUCCCGGCUUAACUGGGAGGGUGCGCCGAAGACUGGAAGGCUAGAGUAUGGGAGAGGUAAGCGGAAUUCCUGGUGUAGCGGUGAAAUGCGUAGAUAUCAGGAGGAACACCUGCGGUGUAGACGGCUUACUGGACCAUAACUGACGCUGAGGCACGAAAGCGUGGGUAGCAAACAGGAUUAGAUACCCUAGUAGUCC